RNAcentral lists this microRNA precursor (84 nucleotides) under Carica papaya (papaya). RNAcentral describes it as "miR160b stem-loop (cpa-MIR160b, cpa-MIR160e)". Its record names the gene cpa-MIR160b. It matches the Rfam family "mir-160 microRNA precursor family". Rfam says of the family: The hairpin precursors (represented here) are predicted based on base pairing and cross-species conservation -- their extents are not known. In this case the mature sequence is excised from the 5' arm of the hairpin. The record is from miRBase by way of RNAcentral. Lineage: Eukaryota; Viridiplantae; Streptophyta; Magnoliopsida; Brassicales; Caricaceae.
UGCCUGGCUCCCUGUAUGCCACAAGCACAACCCGAUCUUUCCGAUGAUUGGCCGGUGCCGGUGGCGUGCGAGGAGCCAAGCAUG